This 1413-nucleotide ribosomal RNA is filed under the name uncultured bacterium. RNAcentral describes it as "partial 16S ribosomal RNA". It matches the Rfam family "Bacterial small subunit ribosomal RNA". The record is from RNAcentral.
AGAGUUUGAUCCUGGCUCACGAUGAACGCUAGCUACAGGCUUAACACAUGCAAGUCGAGGGGAAACAACAUCAUAACCUGGUAUUGGAUAUGGGUACAGCGGCACAGGUGAGAAUAGCGUAUAUCCACUCCGCCCAACAGGUGGAAUAUACUCGCGAAAGUAUAACAAUAAUCCCCUGGGAUCCAUCUAAAGCAUCUCAGAUGGAGAUAAGGUAUCGACCGGUGAUGGAUGGGGAUGCGUCCGAUUAGCUUGACGGCGGGGUAACGGCCCACCGAGGCGACGAUCAGUAGGGGUUCUGAGAGGAAGGUCCCCCACAUUGGAACUGAGACACGGUCCAAACUCCUACGGGAGGCAGCAGUGAGGAAUAUUGGUCAAUGGACGAAAGUCUGAACCAGCCAAGUAGCGUGAAGGAUGACUGCCCUAUGGGUUGUAAACUGCUUUUAUGCGGGAAUAAAGUUCGUCACGUGAGACUUUUUGCAUGUACCUUAUGAAUAAGGACCGGCUAAUUCCGUGCCAGCAGCCGCGGUAAUACGGAAGGUCCAGGCGUUAUCCGGAUUCAUUGGGUUUAAAGGGAGCGUAGGCCGGAUAUUAAGCGUGUUGUGAAAUGUAGAGGCUCAACCUCUGCACUGCAGCGCGAACUGGAUGGCUUGAGUACACACAAAGUGGGCGGAAUUCAUGGUGUAGCGGUGAAAUGCUUAGAUAUCAUGAAGAAACUCCGAUUGCGAAGGCAGCUCACUGGGGGGCAACUAACGCUGAAGCUCGAAAGGUGCGGGUAUCGGACAGGAUUAGAUACCCUGGUAGUCCCCCCGGUAAACGAUGGAUGCCCCGCUGUUGCUCAGUACAGAUCCGCGCCCAGGCGAGGCGCAUAAACAUUCCCCCCUUGGGGGAGUACCCCGCGCACGCGGUGAGAUCUCAAAGGAAUACCGGGGGCCCCACACAACCGGAGGACACAUGUGGUUUAAUUGAGAGAUAUAGGGAGGGACCUAUACCCGCGUGUAUAUGCCAGAGGAGAUACCAGGAGUCGAGAGAGCCCCUUCGGGCUCUCUGAGAAGUUCUGCCAUGUUUGUUCACAGUUCGCCCCGAGAGGUCUGGGUUUAAGCCACAUAAGGGGCCACACCCUUUUCGUAAUUGCCCAUGAGGUCAUCCGGGCCAUUUUGGGAACAGUCCCCCCUUAAGGUGUAAGGAAGUUGAGAUGACGUCAAAUCAGCACGGCCCUUACGUCCGGGGCUACACACGUGUUACAAUGGCACAUACAGAGAGAUGCUGUUCGGCAAAGUCCAUCUAAUCAUCAAAGCGUCCCUCAGUUCAGACUGGGGUCUGCAACCCGACCCCACGAAGCUGGAUUCGCUAGUAAUCGCGCAUCAGCCAUGGCGCGGUGAAUACGUUCNCCGGGCCUUGUACACACCGCCCGUC